ACAAAAUGGAGGAAUUGUUAACGAACAAGGUUACCAACAUCAAUAGAACAUGGAGAAGAUUGGAAAUAUCCCCAAAAUGUCAUAAGUUACAACAUACUGGGUGUUCUUCUGUCUGGUGCAGAGUCCUGGCAGACACCAAAUGCUAUUAACAACAAGCUGAAUGUCUUCCAAACUCUCUUCUGGCCACAGACCAUCUCAAAUGAGGAGCUGUAUCAGAGGACAAACACCAUUCCUCUCUCACAAGAAGUUGAGGGAAGAGGAUGGAGGUGGAUUGGACAACAUUUCCAGAAUGCACCCAGAUUCCAUCCCUAGGGUAGCAAGGAGAUGGACACCUGACCAGGAAAAAGGAAGAGAGGAAGACCAAAGGAAACCUGGAGAUGGUCUGUUGAGAAAGAACUAAAAGAGAAAGACUGGACAUGUGGACAAAUACACCAGUGGUCCUUAAGAAGACAUAAAUGGAAAUCUCUGGUGAUGGCCUUAUGUGUAAACCAGCACGAAGAGGACUAACUUACAUAGUAUCUUGAAGGCAAAUAACAAAACAACAAAUACAUAGAAACUGGAAUAGUGAAUAAUAUAUAAAUCUACACAGAAGCCAGGCCAACUCUCCUCAGUUCAAGUGACUGGUUUAUGAUUGAGGACCUAGCUUAUACAAUGCCUUGAAAGGAGGUACAACAUGGCAGAAUUUAGACCAGCCAAGUGGAAAAAGACUGGAAAAACUGGGAAAAGAUUUGAAUUCCAAUGGAAUUAUUUGAUGAGCUAUAAGCAGGGAUUCUGUAUACCACAUGCAUUCGCAGUGGUAAUUAUAGGAAUUGCAACAGGGUGUCAACUUACAAGGGCCAUUCUGUCUCCAAUCCUCUAGAAAGGUCAACAAAUUGAGUGAUACCUUAUCAACACUGGCAUCAGAAUCAAAGGUCAAGGUCAUCGAUGCAUCAUCAUCAAC
Mizuhopecten yessoensis (Yesso scallop) is the source of this 940-nucleotide long non-coding RNA. RefSeq lists it as uncharacterized. The transcript is spliced from 3 exons. The record is from RefSeq and is a predicted model, not a curated record. Lineage: Eukaryota; Metazoa; Mollusca; Bivalvia; Pectinida; Pectinidae.